RNAcentral lists this ribosomal RNA (497 nucleotides) under uncultured bacterium. Its description in RNAcentral is "partial 16S ribosomal RNA". It matches the Rfam family "Bacterial small subunit ribosomal RNA", at positions 28 to 507 of the family's 1533-position model. The record is from RNAcentral.
GAUGAACGCUGGCGGCGUGCCUAAUACAUGCAAGUCGAGCGAAUAGACGAGGAACUCGCUCCUCUUAUGUAAGCGGCGGUUGGGCUAGUAACACGUGGAGAACGCUCCUAUAAGACUGGGACAACCUCUUGAUACUGGCGCUAAUACCCGUUACUAUAUCGAUCCGCAUGGUUCCAUAGCGACCGACGGUCUUGCUGUCUCUAACAGAUGGACCCGCGUCUGAUUUUCUAACUGGUAAGGUAACGGCUUACCCAGGCAACGAUUCGUAGCCCACCUGAGAGGCUGUUCCGCCACAGUGGAAGUGAGACACGGUCCAGACUCCUACGGGAGGCAGCGAUAGAGACUCAUGCGCCAAAGGAGAGAGCCUAACGGGGCAACACCGCGUGGGUGAUGAUGGUCUUCCGGUGCUAAGACUCUGUUGUUAGGGAAGAACAACUGUGUAUGUAACUACGCACGUCUUGACGGUACCUGACCAGAAAGCCACGGCUAACUGCGUG